CCGGCUCCGGUUCACGCCUGCACCCACCCGGGGUGAGGGCGACCCGGCGGCC
RNAcentral lists this non-coding RNA (52 nucleotides) under unclassified sequences. RNAcentral describes it as "L31-Actinobacteria ribosomal protein leader". It matches the Rfam family "L31-Actinobacteria ribosomal protein leader". The record is from RNAcentral.